RNAcentral lists this ribosomal RNA (479 nucleotides) under Bacillus amyloliquefaciens. Its description in RNAcentral is "bacterial SSU rRNA". It matches the Rfam family "Bacterial small subunit ribosomal RNA", at positions 452 to 918 of the family's 1533-position model. Lineage: Bacteria; Bacillati; Bacillota; Bacilli; Caryophanales; Bacillaceae. The record is from RNAcentral.
AGUGCCGUUCAAAUAGGGCGGCACCUUGACGGUACCUAACCAGAAAGCCACGGCUAACUACGUGCCAGCAACCGCGGUAAUACGUAGGUGGCAAGCGUUGUCCGGAAUUAUUGGGCGUAAAGGGCUCGCAGGCGGUUUCUUAAGUCUGAUGUGAAAGCCCCCGGCUCAACCGGGGAGGGUCAUUGGAAACUGGGGAACUUGAGUGCAGAAGAGGAGAGUGGAAUUCCACGUGUAGCGGUGAAAUGCGUAGAGAUGUGGAGGAACACCAGUGGCGAAGGCGACUCUCUGGUCUGUAACUGACGCUGAGGAGCGAAAGCGUGGGGGAGCGAACAGGAUUAGAUACCCUGGUAGUCCACGCCGUAAACGAUGAGUGCUAAGUGUUAGGGGGUUUCCCGCCCCUUAGUGCUGCAGCUAACGCAUUAAGCACUCCGCCCUGGGGAGUACGGUCGCAAGACUGAAACUCAAAGGAAUUGACGGGG